CGUGUAGGCGGCUAAGUAAGUCUGGAGUGAAAGUCCUGCUUUUAAGGUGGGAAUUGCUUUGGAUACUGCAUAGCUAGAGUGCAGGAGAGGUAAGUGGAAUUCCCAGUGUAGCGGUGAAAUGCGUAGAGAUUGGGAGGAACACCAGUGGCGAAGGCGACUUACUGGACUGUAACUGACGCUGAGGCGCGAAAGUGUGGGGGAGCAAACA
This 208-nucleotide ribosomal RNA is filed under the name uncultured bacterium. RNAcentral describes it as "partial 16S ribosomal RNA". It matches the Rfam family "Bacterial small subunit ribosomal RNA", at positions 568 to 774 of the family's 1533-position model. The record is from RNAcentral.